UUAGCAGACUUAUCUUAUCGACUUAAAUUUAUUUUAAGUAGGAAAGUCCGAACACCAAAGAGUAGCAUAGCGGAUAACAACCGUCCAACGUAAGUUGAGGACCAGUGCAACAGAAAGAAUGUACAGUUAGGCUGUAGUGAAACCAGGUAAACUCUAUGCGGUGCAAUGCCAUGUAUAUUAGAAAUUGAGAGCUACUCGCUCGAUUCUAAAGGGUAGGCAGAUUGAAGUUACGAGUAAUUGUAACUCUAGAUAAAUGAUAAGACUUAGACAGGAUUCGGCUUAUUAGUCUGCUUUUUUA
Molecule: non-coding RNA, 298 nt
Organism: Tenacibaculum sp.
Lineage: Bacteria; Pseudomonadati; Bacteroidota; Flavobacteriia; Flavobacteriales; Flavobacteriaceae
Rfam family: Bacterial RNase P class A
About the family: Ribonuclease P (RNase P) is a ubiquitous endoribonuclease, found in archaea, bacteria and eukarya as well as chloroplasts and mitochondria. Its best characterised activity is the generation of mature 5'-ends of tRNAs by cleaving the 5'-leader elements of precursor-tRNAs.
Source: Rfam